RNAcentral lists this long non-coding RNA (536 nucleotides) under Pongo abelii (Sumatran orangutan). RNAcentral describes it as "lincRNA". The record is from RNAcentral. Lineage: Eukaryota; Metazoa; Chordata; Mammalia; Primates; Hominidae.
AUUAUUUAAGGAAUGUCCUUCCAGUCUGCAGGCGGAUAGGCUCUCCAAGGAGAUUUUGGCAGGGGUGAAAUGACUGGCAUUUUGACCUGAGCAAAAUUUCUGAAUUUCUGAGCUGUGAUAGACACUGGAGCUUCUGGCUCUUGGGACUCUCGCAGAACUCCACCUGCUCACCCGCAGGCCUCAGGCCUUCAGAUUAGGACUGAAUUCCAUCACUGGCUUUCCUGGUUCUCCAGCUUGCAGAUGGCAGAUGAUGAGACUUCUCAGCCUCCAUAAUCAUGUGAGCCAAUUCCCAUAAUAAGUCUCUCUCUAUCUCUGUCUUACUCUCUCUUGAUUCUGUUUCUCUGAAGAACCCUAACUAAUACAGAUACCUUCAUUUUACAAAUGAAUAAAGUGCAGUGCCAGAGAAGUUCUGUGAAUUGUCUAGGGUCAUACAACUCCUUCAUUUAUUUAAUCAUUCAUUAAGUCAACUAGUGUUCUAGGUGCCAAGGAAGUCAACAUACUAGACCACAUUGCCUGUCUUCAAGAAAGUUAUCUUU